Molecule: ribosomal RNA, 827 nt
Filed under: uncultured bacterium
Lineage: Bacteria
Description: bacterial SSU rRNA
Rfam family: Bacterial small subunit ribosomal RNA
Source: RNAcentral
AGAGUUUGAUCCUGGCUCAGGACGAACGCUGGCGGCGUGCCUAAUACAUGCAAGUCGAACGCUUCUUUUUCCACCGGAGCUUGCUCCAUCGGAAAAAGAGGAGUGGCGAACGGGUGAGUAACACGUGGGUAACCUGCCCAUCAGAAGGGGAUAACACUUGGAAACAGGUGCUAAUACCGUAUAACAAUCGAAACCGCAUGGUUUUGAUUUGAAAGGCGCUUUCGGGUGUCGCUGAUGGAUGGACCCGCGGUGCAUUAGCUAGUUGGUGAGGUAACGGCUCACCAAGGCGACGAUGCAUAGCCGACCUGAGAGGGUGAUCGGCCACAUUGGGACUGAGACACGGCCCAAACUCCUACGGGAGGCAGCAGUAGGGAAUCUUCGGCAAUGGACGAAAGUCUGACCGAGCAACGCCGCGUGAGUGAAGAAGGUUUUCGGAUCGUAAAACUCUGUUGUUAGAGAGGAACAAGGAUGAGAGUAACUGUUCAUCCCUUGACGGUAUCUAACCAGAAAGCCACGGCUAACUACGUGCCAGCAGCCGCGGUAAUACGUAGGUGGCAAGCGUUGUCCGGAUUUAUUGGGCGUAAAGCGAGCGCAGGCGGUUUCUUAAGUCUGAUGUGAAAGCCCCCGGCUCAACCGGGGAGGGUCAUUGGAAACUGGGAGACUUGAGUGCAGAAGAGGAGAGUGGAAUUCCAUGUGUAGCGGUGAAAUGCGUAGAUAUAUGGAGGAACACCAGUGGCGAAGGCGGCUCUCUGGUCUGUAACUGACGCUGAGGCUCGAAAGCGUGGGGAGCAAAAAGGAUUAGAUACCCUGGUAGUCCACGCCGUAAA